GAAGCUGACCAGACAGUCGCCGCUUCGUCGUCGUCCUUUCGGGGAGACGGGCGGAGGGGAGGAAAGUCCGGGCUCCAUAGGGCAGGGUGCCAGGUAACGCCUGGGGGGGAAACCCACGACCAGUGCAACAGAGAGCAAACCGCCGAUGGCCCACGUAAGUGGGAUCAGGUAAGGGUGAAAGGGUGCGGUAAGAGCGCACCGCGCGGCUGGUAACAGUCCGUGGCACGGUAAACUCCACCCGGAGCAAGGCCAAAUAGGGGUUCAUAAGGUACGGCCCGUACUGAACCCGGGUAGGCUGCUUGAGCCAGUGAGCGAUUGCUGGCCUAGAUGAAUGACUGUCCACGACAGAACCCGGCUUAUCGGUCAGUUUCACUN
RNAcentral lists this RNase P RNA (375 nucleotides) under Salmonella enterica subsp. enterica serovar Meleagridis. Its description in RNAcentral is "RNase P RNA component class A". It matches the Rfam family "Bacterial RNase P class A". Rfam says of the family: Ribonuclease P (RNase P) is a ubiquitous endoribonuclease, found in archaea, bacteria and eukarya as well as chloroplasts and mitochondria. The record is from RNAcentral. Lineage: Bacteria; Pseudomonadati; Pseudomonadota; Gammaproteobacteria; Enterobacterales; Enterobacteriaceae.